RNAcentral lists this unclassified non-coding RNA (299 nucleotides) under Hevea brasiliensis (rubber tree). Lineage: Eukaryota; Viridiplantae; Streptophyta; Magnoliopsida; Malpighiales; Euphorbiaceae. The record is from RNAcentral.
CCGCCACGCUGUCCGCGAUUUAGCGAAACUGCUGUCCGUCAGUUAGCGAAACUGCUGUCCCGUUUUUGCGAAAUACGCACUCCGUCCAACCCGGAGGCUUCUUCGCACGUUUCUUCUACCUCUGAAACCAGGUUAUCGGCUUCGCGCUUACGGAUGUUCCCCUGUAACCUCGUCAGGAGCUCGGCGCCGGUUCCCCACUACUCGGCCUUGAACCACCCCUGCAUCUGUGGGAACGCCUUAACGAGCGGGAUGAGGGCGACGGCGACCUCGCUUCGCUUGAGGAUCGGCCGGUCCGUCGG